Molecule: long non-coding RNA, 255 nt
Organism: Hyaena hyaena (striped hyena)
Lineage: Eukaryota; Metazoa; Chordata; Mammalia; Carnivora; Hyaenidae
Exons: 4
Source: RefSeq, a predicted model, not a curated record
GAAACUACUACAUAUUCACAAAUAGGAAAGGGCAAAGUCAAGUAUGACACAUUGAACAUUGACUGUUAUGUUACCAUUUGAAAUGUUGCUUUAAAAGAGAUUUUCAGGGAGUGAGCAGGGAACAUAGUGAUACACCAGAUAGACACAGUGCCUGGCCUCGAGGAGCUGACACUCUCCUGGGGAAGACAAACACUAAGCACGUGGACAAUUGAGACAAUUUCAGACUGACAAUUUCAGCACAACCAAGGAAGAGUC